Helobdella robusta is the source of this 67-nucleotide transfer RNA. It matches the Rfam family "tRNA". Rfam says of the family: Transfer RNA (tRNA) molecules are approximately 80 nucleotides in length. NCBI's taxonomy places the organism in Eukaryota, Metazoa, Annelida, Clitellata, Rhynchobdellida, Glossiphoniidae. The record is from Rfam.
AGUUAUUUGUUUGGGUAACAACAGAUUUUGAAAAUCUACAAUAAAUGUUCGAAUCAUUUAAUAACUU